UCUCAGCUUCAAACUUUGUCUCUAUAA
This 27-nucleotide non-coding RNA is filed under the name Mus musculus (house mouse). The record is from RNAcentral. Lineage: Eukaryota; Metazoa; Chordata; Mammalia; Rodentia; Muridae.